RNAcentral lists this ribosomal RNA (253 nucleotides) under uncultured bacterium. RNAcentral describes it as "partial 16S ribosomal RNA". It matches the Rfam family "Bacterial small subunit ribosomal RNA", at positions 524 to 776 of the family's 1533-position model. The record is from RNAcentral.
UACGGGGGGUGCGAGCGUUAAUCGGAAUUACUGGGCGUAAAGCGCACGCAGGCGGUCGUUUGAGUGAGCUGUGAAAACCCCGGGCUUAACCCGGGAAUUGCAUCUGAUACUGGUCAGCUAGAGUGUUGUAGAGGGGGGUAGAAUUCCAUGUGUAGCGGUGAAAUGCGUAGAGAUGUGGAGGAAUACCGGUGGCGAAGGCAGCCCCCUGGGCAAAGACUGACGCUCAGGUGCGAAAGCGUGGGGAGCAAACAGG